UGAGUUUAGAUAUGAGCACGUGUCAUGCUCUGAUUAAUUUGAAGAAACAACAAAGCCAAAAAAAAAACCUCUCUCUUUUUUUUUUUAUUUCUCUCUCGACCUUUUUCUCUCUCUCUUUUCCUCGAAACCAAAACGGCGAAAUCCUGCUCUGAGGCUGUUGAUCCGACGAAUUGAGAGGAGAUAUGAGAUGGAAUUGCGUGUUUCAUCUCACGUAAUCAGAGCUUCUCGGUGGCGUCUCUCUAUCCCUGCAAUUCUCGAAGCUUCCGCCGGAGAAAUCGAGCCGACUCGUCGUCAUCCGUCGAACUGAGAGGAGAAAUGAGUGGGGAUUGCGUUUUUGAUCUGUCUGUAUCAUGAUCUACAUGAGAAAGGGAGAAUUUCAACUCACUGGUCAACAUAGCAACAUAAGUUGAAGUGGAAACCACAGCUUUUGGAGCUUACUGCAGCCAGAGUUGAAGUGCAGGAGAAACAAGUGGAGUUGUGAUAAUGAGCAAGGACAAGUUGCUUCACUAGCAACACGUGAAGCAAAAAGACAAGUUGAUAAGAAGGGGACAUGUUGAAGAGGACAAGAUUCCAGCAAGUACACGGACACUACAAGUCUUGAUUCUAAUCACAUGUUUGAAUGAGUUUGCUUUUUACCACAAGUCCUCUCUGUUUGUUCACGGACACAAGUAUUCAUUGUAACCACAUGUUUCACUUUGCUUCUUAACCAUGUAUAUGUUUUGUGUAGUCCACUAUAAAUAUGACCAUGUAAUAUCACUUUGUAAUAUCAAUUGUCCAGACUCUUUCCCUC
Molecule: long non-coding RNA, 790 nt
Organism: Arabidopsis lyrata subsp. lyrata
Lineage: Eukaryota; Viridiplantae; Streptophyta; Magnoliopsida; Brassicales; Brassicaceae
Exons: 3
Source: RefSeq, a predicted model, not a curated record